AGCUGGUUGGUGAGGUAAGAGCCCACCAAGGCGAUGAUGGGUAGCCGGCCUGAGAGGGUGUACGGCCACACUGGGACUGAGAUACGGCCCAGACUCCUACGGGAGGCAGCAGCUAAGAAUAUUCCGCAAUGGACGAAAGUCUGACGGAGCGACGCCGCGUGGAUGAAGAAGGCCGAAAGGUUGUAAAGUUCUUUUGUUGGGGAAGAAUAACCAUGGGAGGGAAUGCCCGUGGGAUGACAUGAACCGACGAAUAAGCCCCGGCUAACUACGUGCCAGCAGCCGCGGUAACACGUAGGGGGCGAGCGUUGUUCGGAAUUACUGGGCGUAAAGGGCAUGUAGGCGGUCUUGUAAGCUUGGCGUGAAAGACCACGGCUCAACCGUGGGAUUGCGUUGAGAACUGCGAGGCUUGAGUGACGGAGAGGGAGCUAGAAUUCCUGGUGUAGGGGUGGAAUCUGUAGAGAUCAGGAAGAAUACCAAUGGCGAAGGCAAGCUCCUGGCCGAUGACUGACGCUGAGGUGCGAAAGUGUGGGGAUCAAACAGGAUUAGAUACCCUGGUAGUCCACACUGUAAACGAUGUGCACUAGGUGCUGGUACGGAUGUAUCAGUGCCGUAGCUAACG
Molecule: ribosomal RNA, 619 nt
Filed under: uncultured bacterium
Lineage: Bacteria
Description: bacterial SSU rRNA
Rfam family: Bacterial small subunit ribosomal RNA
Source: RNAcentral